This 813-nucleotide ribosomal RNA is filed under the name uncultured Alphaproteobacteria bacterium. Its description in RNAcentral is "bacterial SSU rRNA". It matches the Rfam family "Bacterial small subunit ribosomal RNA", at positions 60 to 919 of the family's 1533-position model. Lineage: Bacteria; Pseudomonadati; Pseudomonadota; Alphaproteobacteria. The record is from RNAcentral.
AGUCGAGCGAGGUGCAAUACCUAGCGGCAGACGGGUGCGUAACAUGUGGGAAUCUGCCUUUUGGUUCGGAACAACACGGGGAAACCUGUGCUAAUACCGGAUAAGUCCUUACGGAGAAAGUUUUAGAUGCCAAAAGAUGAGCCCGCAUUUGAUUAGCUAGUUGGUGAGGUAAAAGCUCACCAAGGCGAUAAUCAAUAGCUGAUUUGAGAGGAUGAUCAGCCACACUGGGACUGAGAUACGGCCCAGACUCCUACGGGAGGCAGCAGUGGGGAAUCUUGCACAAUGGGCGAAAGCCUGAUGCAGCGAUGCCGCGUGAGUGAAGAAGGCCUUUGGGUUGUAAAGCUCUUUUGUCGGGAAAGAUAAUGACUGUACCCGAAGAAUAAGGUCCGGCUAACUUCGUGCCAGCAGCCGCGGUAAUACGAAGGGACCUAGCGUAGUUCGGAAUUACUGGGCGUAAAGAGUAUGUAGGCGGCUAGAUAAGUUAAUUGUGAAAGCCCAAAGCUUAACUUUGGAAUUGCAAUUAAAACUAUUUAGCUGGAGUAUGAUAGAGGAAAGCGGAAUACAUAGUGUAGAGGUGAAAUUCGUAGAUAUUAUGUAGAACACCAGUUGCGAAGGCGGCUUUCUGGAUCAUUACUGACGCUGAGAUACGAAAGUAUGGGUAGCGAAGAGGAUUAAAUACCCUCGUAGUCCAUACCAUAAACGAUGAUUAUUAGAUGUGGGGAAUUAUUUCUCUGUAUCAUAACUAACGCGUUUAAAUAAUCCCCCCGGGGAAGUACGACCGCACAGUUUAAAACUCCAAUGAAUUGAACGGGG